GGGGUUGUGGCUCAGUGGUAGAGCGCUUGCCUCGCACGCUUGAGGCACAGGGUUCGAUCCUCAGCACGCCA
Non-coding RNA from Ictidomys tridecemlineatus (thirteen-lined ground squirrel), 71 nucleotides. Lineage: Eukaryota; Metazoa; Chordata; Mammalia; Rodentia; Sciuridae. The record is from Rfam.